Molecule: ribosomal RNA, 440 nt
Filed under: uncultured bacterium
Lineage: Bacteria
Description: partial 16S ribosomal RNA
Rfam family: Bacterial small subunit ribosomal RNA
Source: RNAcentral
CCUACGGGAGGCAGCAGUGGGGAAUAUUGCACAAUGGGGGAAACCCUGAUGCAGCGACGCCGCGUGAGUGAAGAAGGAAUUCGUUAUGUAAAGCUCUAUCAGCAGGGAAGAAAAUGACGGUACCUGAGUAAGAAGCCCCGGCUAACUACGUGCCAGCAGCCGCGGUAAUACGGAGGGGGCAAGCGGUAUCCGGAUUUACUGGGGGUAAAGGGAGCGUAGACGGCAGUGCAAGUCUGGGGUGAAAGGCUGGGGCUCAACCCCAGGACUGCUCUGGAAACUGUAAGUCUGGAGUGGAGGAGAGGUAAGUGGAAUUCCUGGUGUAGCGGUGAAAUGCGUAGAUAUUAGGAGGAACACCAGUUGCGAAGGCGGCUUACUGGACUGUAACUGACGCUGAGGCUCGAAAGCGUGGGGAGCAAACAGGAUUAGAUACCCCUGUAGUC